This 76-nucleotide transfer RNA is filed under the name bacterium. RNAcentral describes it as "tRNA-Thr". It matches the Rfam family "tRNA". From Rfam's summary of the family: Transfer RNA (tRNA) molecules are approximately 80 nucleotides in length. The record is from RNAcentral. RNAcentral also lists the same sequence under 4 other names.
GCCGAUGUAGCUCAGUUGGUAGAGCGCGUCCUUGGUAAGGACGAGGUCACCGGUUCAAGCCCGGUCAUCGGCUCCA